CACGGGGGGAGCAAGCGUUGUUCGGAAUUACUGGGCGUAAAGGGCUUGUAGGUGGCCAACUAAGUCAGACGUGAAAUCCCUCGGCUUAACCGGGGAACUGCGUCUGAUACUGGAUGGCUUGAGUUUGGGAGAGGGAUGCGGAAUUCCAGGUGUAGCGGUGAAAUGCGUAGAUAUCAGGAGGAACACCAGUGGCGAAGGCGGUGCUCUGGGCCGGAACUGACGCUGAGGAGCGAAAGCGUGGGGAGCAAACAGG
RNAcentral lists this ribosomal RNA (253 nucleotides) under uncultured bacterium. RNAcentral describes it as "partial 16S ribosomal RNA". It matches the Rfam family "Bacterial small subunit ribosomal RNA", at positions 524 to 776 of the family's 1533-position model. The record is from RNAcentral.